This is a long non-coding RNA of Neofelis nebulosa (Clouded leopard), 367 nucleotides long. RefSeq lists it as uncharacterized. The transcript has 2 exons. NCBI's taxonomy places the organism in Eukaryota, Metazoa, Chordata, Mammalia, Carnivora, Felidae. The record is from RefSeq and is a predicted model, not a curated record.
UGGCUAUUUUUGUAUUAUGCUACUCUGGAUCUUAUUUAAACCAGUUUUAGUUGACUUUGUCUGAUGAUGCUCUGGCAUAAGAAGGGAGGAGAGGACACUGCUUCAUUACUGCCAGGUGGAGGUCGAAGUUCAAGUUCUCCAUUUUGCCUGCACCGACACCUGAGGGCCAAGCCAGCAAGCACUACCUCCAUGCUUAUCUCCAGGAUGUGACCAAGGAAAGUGGUAUCUCCUGGCAGUGGAUUAACUGGGAAAUGCACAUUGGGAGGUGCACAGCAGACAUGCCUGGGGGCCUAGGAAUUAUAUGCCCACCAACCCAAUAUUCUGAUAUAACACACCCUCAAGAAAUAAUAAUCUUGCCCUGGUUGGA